RNAcentral lists this ribosomal RNA (497 nucleotides) under uncultured bacterium. Its description in RNAcentral is "partial 16S ribosomal RNA". It matches the Rfam family "Bacterial small subunit ribosomal RNA", at positions 29 to 507 of the family's 1533-position model. The record is from RNAcentral.
ACGCACGCUGGCGGCGUGCCUAAUACAUGCAAGUCGAGCGGACGGAUGGGAGCUUGCUCCCAGACCGUCAGCGGCGGACGGGUGAGUAACACGUGGGCAACCUGCCUGUAAGACUGGGAUAACUCCGGGAAACCGGGGCUAAUACCGGAUAACUCUUUCCCUCACAUGAGGGAAAGCUGAAAGAUGGCAUCUCGCUAUCACUUACAGAUGGGCCCGCGGCGCAUUAGCUAGUUGGUGAGGUAACGGCUCACCAAGGCGACGAUGCGUAGCCGACCUGAGAGGGUGAUCGGCCACACUGGGACUGAGACACGGCCCAGACUCCUACGGGAGGCAGCAGUAGGGAAUCUUCCGCAAUGGACGAAAGUCUGACGGAGCAACGCCGCGUGAGUGAUGAAGGUUUUCGGAUCGUAAAACUCUGUUGUCAGGGAAGAACAAGUACCGGAGUAACUGCCGGUACCUUGACGGUACCUGACCAGAAAGCCACGGCUAACUACGUG